CUGAAUACUUUCUCAUACUCACAAUUCCUUCAGGAUCUCAGAAGUUCUGUGCUUAAAAUCAGCAGUUUUCUUGAGAGACAACUGAAUGAAGAGGAUGUGGAAGCUGUUGUUAAACAGGCAACAUUUGAGAACAUGAAGUUUGAUCCACAAGCAAAUUAUGAGCAAAUUCUAAAACAUGACUUGGGGAGAAGAACAGACAAGGGAAGUUUCUUGCGCAAAGGUACCAUUGGAGACUGGAAACAUCACCUGACUGUGGAGCAAAAUGAGAGAUUUGAUAGAAUAUUCCAAAGGAAGAUGAAAGACUUUCCCUUGAAGUUCAUCUGGGAUCUAAAUGAGGAAUAGAAUUAGUGCAAAAUAAACAUAGAGAAAAUGCACUAACUAGAGAGCAUAUUUUAAUAUGCAUAUUAACUUGUGCUUCUCAUCUGUGUUAAUUAUAAAAUUUUAUUAAUUUAAAAAAAUGAGAAAAUUAGACUUACAAUGGUUGCCAUGAGUUGGAUGAAUACUUUGAAAUUUUAAAAGUUAAAAUGAUUUGGGAGAGAGUCUGAACUGGUUGCCUGUAUGAUAGAGGGAAAAAACAGAGAGCAUGCAACAUGAAUGGUAAAUAUCUUCAAAGACUUUUCUGUAGUGUGUAUUUUUUCUUUCUCUACGAUUAAAUUUAGGAUCAAUCGAACAUCAAAAUCCCUUUAUUCUUGUAAUUAAACUUUAAUGCUUUGGUUCAAAUCAAUGUACAGAAAUCAGACAUAAACACUUGCAUCUGUUUAAUAAUUUACCAGAUGGCAAAGUUUGCACUAAAGAUCAAGGAUCACAAAUAGAUUAACCAUCUAAUGGUUAAAUCAUUAAUUAUUUAGAUGAAGAAAUAUAGCUGUGUCCACAACAUAUCAUUCACUAAACUAAUUUUAUAUGUAUUUAUAACUAAGUAUUUAAGAUAAAAUCAUUUUGAAUAACUAGAAAAAUAUAUAUGAAUCUGUUAAUAAUUCCAAAAUAGAAAAAACUUUUGAAACAUAAAGGCAAUAUAAGAAACUUUAAAAAAAGGUCAUUGUAAAUGUAAUUAGUUAUAUUUAAAUACUGGAGUGUGGUGGGCUCUUAAUCCAAUAAAACUGAUGUUAGAAGAGAAAAAAGACACAGGAUGGAGGCUGUGAUGUCACAACAGAAGCUGAGUUUGGAGUGAUGCAUCUAUAAGCCAAAGAUGCCAGCAAACUCCAAGAACCUAGAAGUAGCAAGCAAUGAUUCUCUCCUACAGGUUUCAGAGGGGGCAUGGCUUUACUGACAUCUUGGUUUUGGACUGCUAGCCUCGACAACUGUGAGACAAUAAAUUUCUGCUGUUUUCAACCACC
Equus quagga is the source of this 1334-nucleotide long non-coding RNA. RefSeq lists it as uncharacterized. Lineage: Eukaryota; Metazoa; Chordata; Mammalia; Perissodactyla; Equidae. The record is from RefSeq and is a predicted model, not a curated record. The transcript is spliced from 2 exons.